Molecule: ribosomal RNA, 379 nt
Filed under: uncultured eukaryote
Lineage: Eukaryota
Description: partial 18S ribosomal RNA
Rfam family: Eukaryotic small subunit ribosomal RNA
Source: RNAcentral
CAAUAGCGUAUAUUAAAGUUGUUGCGGUUAAAAAGCUCGUAGUUGGAUUUCUGCCGAGGACGACCGGUCCGCCCUCUGGGUGUGUAUCUGGUUUGGCCUGGGCAUCUUCUUGGAGAACGUAGCUGCACUUGACUGUGUGGUGCGGUGUCCAGGACUUUUACUUUGAGGAAAUUAGAGUGUUUCAAGCAGGCACACGCCUUGAAUACAUUAGCAUGGAAUAAUAAGAUAGGACCUCGGUUCUAUUUUGUUGGUUUCUAGAGCUGAGGUAAUGAUUAAUAGGGAUAGUUGGGGGCAUUCGUAUUUAACUGUCAGAGGUGAAAUUCUUGGAUUUGUUAAAGACGGACUACUGCGAGAGCAUUUGCCAAGGAUGUUUNCAUUG